Physeter macrocephalus (sperm whale) is the source of this 513-nucleotide long non-coding RNA. RefSeq lists it as uncharacterized. NCBI's taxonomy places the organism in Eukaryota, Metazoa, Chordata, Mammalia, Artiodactyla, Physeteridae. The record is from RefSeq and is a predicted model, not a curated record. The transcript is spliced from 3 exons.
GCACACUUGGUGCUGCCACUGAUGAAUGCCAAAGGGGGAAAGCCUUUGCCUCCCUCCAUCUCUUGUUGUGUCUUGCAAAUAUGGGCACCUUGGGCUUUAGCUGGAAACUAAUUGAUGUCCUCUGGCCUCUUUCCUAGGGAUGAUGGUAGAUUCUCUGAUUCCAUUCCAAUCUCCCCACCCAUGAUAUCUGUAGCCAGUUUCCCCACUAAGUUAUCCAAGAAGCAAGCAACCUCACCAAGGCAAGCAUUGUCCUUGUUCCCCUUAGAGUCUCCAGAACAAACUACAAUCUCAGAGGAGGAGAGACCAGGGUGAAGGAGGGACUAAAGGCAGCUGCGUCGGAACCUGGAAGGUUCCAUAGGUCAGAAGCCUGAGAUGAGUCUCACUGGGCUUAAAUCAAGGAUUGAUGUCAGCGGAGCUGCAUUCCUUGCUGGAGGCUCUGGGGAGAAAUCAUUCUCUUUUCCAGCUUCUAGAAGCUGCCUACACUCCUUGGUCAUGGUGCCCUUCCAUCUUCAA